GGGAAUUUUCCGCAAUGGGCGAAAGCCUGACGGAGCAACGCCGCGUGGGGGAGGAAGGCCUGUGGGUUGUAAACUCCUUUUCUCAGGGAAGAAGAUCUGACGGUACCUGAGGAAUCAGCAUCGGCUACCUCCGUGCCACCAGCCGCGGUAAGACGGAGGAUGCAAGCGUUAUCCGGAAUUAUUGGGCGUAAAGCGUCCGCAGGCGGCUAAUUAAGUCAGUUGUUAAAGCCCGGGGCUCAACUCCGGAUCGGCAGUUGAAACUAAUUAGCUAGAGUACGGUAGGGGUAGAGGGAAUUCCCAGUGUAGCGGUGAAAUGCGUAGAUAUUGGGAAGAACACCAGUGGCGAAGGCGCUCUACUGGGCCGUAACUGACGCUCAUGGACGAAAGCUAGGGGAGCG
RNAcentral lists this ribosomal RNA (398 nucleotides) under uncultured bacterium. RNAcentral's name for it is "bacterial SSU rRNA". It matches the Rfam family "Bacterial small subunit ribosomal RNA", at positions 357 to 770 of the family's 1533-position model. The record is from RNAcentral.